GGCCUGAUGGUCUAGUAGUAUGAUUCCUUGUUAGGGAGCAUCAGCUCAUUUCGAGGAGGUCCCGGGUUCAAUUCCCGGUCAGGCCC
Non-coding RNA from Coprinopsis cinerea okayama7#130, 86 nucleotides. NCBI's taxonomy places the organism in Eukaryota, Fungi, Basidiomycota, Agaricomycetes, Agaricales, Psathyrellaceae. The record is from the annotation of a RefSeq genome assembly.